UCUACGGGAGGCAGCAGUGAGGAAUAUUGGUCAAUGGGCACGAGCCUGAACCAGCCAAGUAGCGUGAAGGAUGACUGCCCUACGGGUUGUAAACUUCUUUUAUAAAGGAAUAAAGUGCGGCACGUGUGCCUUUUUGUAUGUACUUUAUGAAUAAGGAUCGGCUAACUCCGUGACAGCAGCCGCGGUAAUACGGAGGAUCCGAGCGUUAUCCGGAUUUAUUGGGUUUAAAGGGAGCGUAGAUGGGUUGUUAAGUCAGUUGUGAAAGUUUGCGGCUCAACCGUAAAAUUGCAAUUGAUACUGGCAGCCUGGAGUGCAGUUGAGGUAGGCGGAAUUCGUGGUGUAGCGGUGAAAUGCUUAGAUAUCACGAAGAACUCCGAUUGCGAAGGCAGCCUACUAGACUGCAACUGACGUUGAUGCUCGAAAGUGUGGGUAUCAAACAGGAUUAGAUACCCGAGUAGUC
RNAcentral lists this ribosomal RNA (460 nucleotides) under uncultured bacterium. RNAcentral describes it as "partial 16S ribosomal RNA". It matches the Rfam family "Bacterial small subunit ribosomal RNA", at positions 338 to 795 of the family's 1533-position model. The record is from RNAcentral.